UGCCCCGGCCCGUGGCUCCCCCCACAGCGAAGGGGGCAAGAGGUCUCCAGAGCCAAACAAGACGUCGGUCUUGGGUGGUGGUGAGGACGGUAUUGAACCUGUGUCCCCACCGGAGGGCAUGACGGAGCCAGGGCACUCCCGGAGUGCUGUGUACCCGCUGCUGUACCGGGAUGGGGAACAGACGGAGCCCAGGAUGGGCUCCAAGUCUCCAGGCAACACCAGCCAGCCGCCAGCCUUCUUCAGCAAGCUGACCGAGAGCAACUCCGCCAUGGUCAAGUCCAAGAAGCAAGAGAUCAACAAGAAGCUGAACACCCACAACCGGAAUGAGCCUGAAUACACCUGGGACGGAGAUCUUCAAUAUGCCCGCCAUCACCGGAACAGGCCUUAUGACCUAUAGAAGCCAGGCGGUGCAGGAACAUGCCAGCACCAACAUGGGGCUGGAGGCCAUAAUUAGAAAGGCACUCAUGGGUGGCGGCGGGAAGGCCAAGGUCUCUGGCAGACCCAGCAGCCGAAAAGCCAAGUCCCCGGCCCCGGGCCUGGCAUCUGGGGACCGGCCACCCUCUGUCUCCUCAGUGCACUCGGAGGGAGACUGCAACCGCCGGACGCCGCUCACCAACCGCGUGUGGGAGGACAGGCCCUCGUCCGCAGGUUCCACGCCAUUCCCCUACAACCCCCUGAUCAUGCGGCUGCAGGCGGGUGUCAUGGCUUCCCCACCCCCACCGGGCCUCCCCGCGGGCAGCGGGCCCCUCGCUGGCCCCCACCACGCCUGGGACGAGGAGCCCAAGCCACUGCUCUGCUCGCAGUACGAGACACUCUCCGACAGCGAGUGACUCAGAACAGGGCGGGGGGGGGGGCGGUGUCAGGUCCCAGCGAGCCACAGGAACGGCCCUGCAGGAGCAGGGCGGCUGCCGACUCCCCCAACCAAGGAAGGAGCCCCUGAGUCCGCCUGCGCCUCCAUCCAUCUGUCCGUCCAGAGCCGGCAUCCUUGCCUGUCUAAAGCCUUAACUAAGACUCCCGCCCCGGGCUGGCCCUGUGCAGACCUUACUCAGGGGAUGUUUACCUGGUGCUCGGGAAGGGAGGGGAAGGGGCCGGGGAGGGGGCACGGCAGGCGUGUGGCAGCCACACGCAGGCGGCCAGGGCGGCCAGGGACCCAAAGCAGGAUGACCACGCACCUCCACGCCACUGCCUCCCCCGAAUGCAUUUGGAACCAAAGUCUAAACUGAGCUCGCAGCCCCCGCGCCCUCCCUCCGCCUCCCAUCCCGCUUAGCGCUCUGGACAGAUGGACGCAGGCCCUGUCCAGCCCCCAGUGCGCUCGUUCCGGUCCCCACAGACUGCCCCAGCCAACGAGAUUGCUGGAAACCAAGUCAGGCCAGGUGGGCGGACAAAAGGGCCAGGUGCGGCCUGGGGGGAACGGAUGCUCCGAGGACUGGACUGUUUUUUUCACACAUCGUUGCCGCAGCGGUGGGAAGGAAAGGCAGAUGUAAAUGAUGUGUUGGUUUACAGGGUAUAUUUUUGAUACCUUCAAUGAAUUAAUUCAGAUGUUUUACGCAAGGAAGGACUUACCCAGUAUUACUGCUGCUGUGCUUUUGAUCUCUGCUUACCGUUCAAGAGGCGUGUGCAGGCCGACAGUCGGUGACCCCAUCACUCGCAGGACCAAGGGGGCGGGGACUGCUGGCUCACGCCCCGCUGUGUCCUCCCUCCCUCCCUUCCUUGGGCAGAAUGAAUUCGAUGCGUAUUCUGUGGCCGCCAUCUGCGCAGGGUGGUGGUAUUCUGUCAUUUACACACGUCGUUCUAAUUAAAAAGCGAAUUAUACUC
This 1815-nucleotide long non-coding RNA is filed under the name Homo sapiens (human). RNAcentral's name for it is "long non-coding RNA NONHSAT164151.1". Lineage: Eukaryota; Metazoa; Chordata; Mammalia; Primates; Hominidae. The record is from RNAcentral.